This 484-nucleotide ribosomal RNA is filed under the name uncultured bacterium. RNAcentral describes it as "bacterial SSU rRNA". It matches the Rfam family "Bacterial small subunit ribosomal RNA", at positions 33 to 510 of the family's 1533-position model. The record is from RNAcentral.
ACGCUGGCGGCGUGCCUAACACAUGCAAGUCGAGCGGUAACAGGUGUAGCAAUACAUGCUGACGAGCGGCGAACGGGUGAGUAAUGCUUCGGAAUCUGCCCAAUGGUGGGGAAUAACCAGCCGAAAGGUUGGCUAAUACCGCAUAAGUCCUACGGGGGAAAGCAGGGGAUCGCAAGACCUUGCGCCGAUGGAUGAGCCGAAGUCGGAUUAGCUAGUUGGUAGGGUAACGGCCUACCAAGGCGACGAUCCGUAGCUGGUCUGAGAGGACGACCAGCCACACUGGGACUGAGACACGGCCCAGACUCCUACGGGAGGCAGCAGUGGGGAAUAUUGGACAAUGGGGGAAACCCUGAUCCAGCGACGCCGCGUGUGUGAAGAAGGCCUGCGGGUUGUAAAGCACUUUUAGUGGGGAUGAAAAGCUCAGGGCUAACACCUCUGGGUCUUGACCUAACCCACAGAAAAAGCACCGGCUAACUCUGUGCCA